This 462-nucleotide ribosomal RNA is filed under the name Nocardia sp. OAHPP1238. Its description in RNAcentral is "partial 16S ribosomal RNA". It matches the Rfam family "Bacterial small subunit ribosomal RNA", at positions 28 to 507 of the family's 1533-position model. The record is from RNAcentral. Lineage: Bacteria; Bacillati; Actinomycetota; Actinomycetes; Mycobacteriales; Nocardiaceae.
GACGAACGCUAGCGGCGUGCUUAACACAUGCAAGUCGAGCGGUAAGGCCCUUCGGGGUACACGAGCGGCGAACGGGUGAGUAACACGUGGGUGAUCUGCCUUGCACUUCGGGAUAAGCCUGGGAAACUGGGUCUAAUACCGGAUAUGACCUYSSRRUGCAUGYUSKKKGGUGGAAAGAUUUAUCGGUGCGAGAUGGGCCCGCGGCCUAUCAGCUUGUUGGUGAGGUAACGGCUCACCAAGGCGACGACGGGUAGCCGACCUGAGAGGGUGACCGGCCACACUGGGACUGAGACACGGCCCAGACUCCUACGGGAGGCAGCAGUGGGGAAUAUUGCACAAUGGGCGAAAGCCUGAUGCAGCGACGCCGCGUGCGGGAUGACGGCCUUCGGGUUGUAAACCGCUUUUGACAGGGACGAAGCGCAAGUGACUGUACCUGUAGAAUAAGGACCGGCCAACUACGUG